This is a non-coding RNA of Trichonephila clavata, 70 nucleotides long. NCBI's taxonomy places the organism in Eukaryota, Metazoa, Arthropoda, Arachnida, Araneae, Nephilidae. The record is from the annotation of a GenBank genome assembly.
GUCCCUGUAGCGCCAGAUAUAGCGCGUUGGACUUCCAAUCCAAAGAUGGGUUCGAAUCCUACCUGCGAUG